RNAcentral lists this ribosomal RNA (232 nucleotides) under uncultured bacterium. RNAcentral describes it as "partial 16S ribosomal RNA". It matches the Rfam family "Bacterial small subunit ribosomal RNA", at positions 29 to 289 of the family's 1533-position model. The record is from RNAcentral.
ACGAACGCUGGCGGCAGGCCUAACACAUGCAAGUCGAGCGCGCCCUUCGGGGUGAGCGGCGGACGGGUGAGUAACGCGUGGGAACGUACCCCUUACUUCGGAAUAGCCUCGGGAAACUGGGAGUAAUACCGAAUGUGCUCUUCGGAGGAAAGAUUUAUCGGUAAGGGAUCGGCCCGCGUUGGAUUAGGUAGUUGGUGGGGUAAUGGCCUACCAAGCCGACGAUCCAUAGCUG